RNAcentral lists this ribosomal RNA (253 nucleotides) under uncultured bacterium. RNAcentral's name for it is "partial 16S ribosomal RNA". It matches the Rfam family "Bacterial small subunit ribosomal RNA", at positions 524 to 776 of the family's 1533-position model. The record is from RNAcentral.
UACAGGGGGGGCAAGCGUUGUUCGGAAUUACUGGGCGUAAAGGGUCUGUAGGUGGCUUGCUAAGUCAGACGUGAAAUCCCUCAGCUUAACUGGGGAACUGCGUCUGAUACUGGCAAGCUUGAGUGCAGGAGAGGAACGCGGAAUUCCAGGUGUAGCGGUGAAAUGCGUAGAUAUCUGGAGGAACACCGGUGGCGAAGGCGGCAUUCUGGACCGAUAUUGACGCUGAGGAGCGAAAGCCAGGGGAGCAAACGGG